This 466-nucleotide ribosomal RNA is filed under the name uncultured bacterium. Its description in RNAcentral is "partial 16S ribosomal RNA". It matches the Rfam family "Bacterial small subunit ribosomal RNA", at positions 28 to 505 of the family's 1533-position model. The record is from RNAcentral.
GACGAACGCUGGCGGCGUGCUUAACACAUGCAAGUCGAACGGAAAGGCCCUGCUUUUGUGGGGUGCUCGAGUGGCGAACGGGUGAGUAACACGUGAGUAACCUGCCCUUGACUUUGGGAUAACUUCAGGAAACUGGGGCUAAUACCGGAUAGGAGCUCCUGCUGCAUGGUGGGGGUUGGAAAGUUUCGGCGGUUGGGGAUGGACUCGCGGCUUAUCAGCUUGUUGGUGGGGUAGUGGCUUACCAAGGCUUUGACGGGUAGCCGGCCUGAGAGGGUGACCGGCCACAUUGGGACUGAGAUACGGCCAAGACUCCUACGGGAGGCAGCAGUGGGGAAUAUUGCACAAUGGGCGGAAGCCUGAUGCAGCAACGCCGCGUGCGGGAUGACGGCCUUCGGGUUGUAAACCGCUUUCGCCUGGGACGAAGCGUGAGUGACGGUAAUGGGUAAAGAAGCACCGGCUAACUACG